This 1020-nucleotide long non-coding RNA is filed under the name Sparus aurata (gilthead seabream). RNAcentral describes it as "lncRNA (ENSSAUG00010000181.1)". Lineage: Eukaryota; Metazoa; Chordata; Actinopteri; Spariformes; Sparidae. The record is from RNAcentral.
GUUUCGGAAGGGUGGUGUUUCGCAAUGGAGGUGUGUCGGAAUGUCACGGCGCCCCCGGGUUGGUUAUGAACCCGGCCCAGCCAUUGUCGAGAGGACGUCUGCGCGGACGGGAGGAGCUUUGCCGGAUCGCCACGAAGAAUGUUGCCGACGGACGGAGCUUCGCUGCCGCAGAGGGACACGGAGGUUUAUCGCUGCAAGCAUUUGUUUUCACAGACUAACCUCGCCUCAUAACAAGGCUGCGACCUCCUGUUUGCUCGGAGCCACGUCUGCAAGUCCAGAUUUACACGAUGCUGAUAAUGACGCCAUUGUGUCUGCCUGUAAGACAUUACGAGACAGUACGCAGGACAACAAGUAAGCAGAUUUUGCAUCGCAGGCAGACGCUGUGAGGAGUUCAGCUCGGAGUCGAUCGAGGACAAAGAGGGUAAGAUUUAUUAGACUGGAUCCGUCUUUGGUCAAUGUGACUAUUAUUCUAUUAAAUAAUAGAUGUGUUGUAUCCAUACGCAGUGCAUCGCGCAGUACUGAUCGGCUUUAUUGAUUGUUUUUACAGCUGCUGGAAGCGACACAGAGUGCUAGCUGAGGAUGAGGUGGACCUUUUGAAGUGUGCCGCCAUGGACCUGAUGUCUGAGGAGGAAGAUGGCACAAGAUGGCGGGGUGUCUGAAUGAAUUGUGCGACCUCCGUCCUUUCGCAGCCGGGAGCUCACCGAGCUCUGCCCCACACUGCUGUCACAUGAGAGGCGAUUCCGAAGUACAGGGCAGCGCACCACAGACGUCUGCAGAAACAGACACUUCGCAGUGUUGUAGGAUUUUGGGCCUCUUGUGAGCUUCCCGUUUGUUGUGUGGGCAGAUUAUGCUUUGUACAUGCUGUGUGUUUUUGUUUGUGCUAAUAAAACUCUUUCUUUGAAUAAACAACACCUUUCUGGCAAAUGUUCCUUUCCUCAGUAAAUUCAUUCAUGUCCUUGAUGAUAUCAUAAAUAUAAAUGAAUGAAUAAUUAAUAUAUAUAAAUAUAUAUAUAUAUAUUA